CGACUUUCCCGGAGGGCAGAGACCAUGGCUUAUGCUCUUAUAUCUUCUUCCCAGUGCACUUAGAACAAACACGCAGCAAAAGCUCUUCUACCCAGACAGAAAGUCUCAAGGCUUAUUCAAGUGCACCUCCUUCAAAAUCACCUUUUGGGCCUCUUUCAGCAAUGUGUGGCAAGCGGGGAAGGAAAGAAUUACUCUUACUCUCUCUGUUUCCCUUCCUUAUUUCAUUUUGAAAGAAUGGCCUUGAGGUUUAUGUCACUUGCAAUCAAGUGGCAACAAACUUGAUGCCGAGAAUACGUAACUUUUCAAGAGAUCAACAUGACAUAUGCAUAGAUAUUAUAAUGUGUCUCCUUCUAUGUGCAGUCUUUCUGCAAAUGUCAAUGGCUUUUCAGGAUAAGAGACAAUCCUGGGUGAUUGCCACACCUGCUCGUGUCCUGCUAGCAGCCACUUGGAGCUAGAAAUAAGCAGAAAAUCCCCCUAAUGCCUCCAGGAAUAAAGUGGCACACACAUGGCAGCUCCUUUAUUAGCUCUGCAGCACUUAGCUCCAUUGGUGCCUCCAAGCUGUACCAGCAGCAGCAGGUCCUUCAGACAUCAGCUUCUUCAUCAGGAAAAGAAUACUAGACCAGGAGCCUUCUGCCGUAAAGGACCUCAGAGUCUGUUGAAGAAACAAAGCAACAGCAAUUACAUAGCUGUGAGUGUGACGUGAGAAGCUGUUUCAAGUUCCUGCUGCUCUGACUUCAUGGCUAUGGUGACUUAGAACCUGGAAUUGUGAGUUAAAAGAAACCCUUUCUUCAGAAAAUUGCCUUUUGUCUUCGUGGUUUGUCACAGAAACGGAAACGAAACCUGGACACCAAAUGUGAGCGUGAAGACCCCAGUGUGACUGCCCAGAACCUGUGGAAAAGACAACAUGGUAGCACAUAUCUGUAAUCUCAGUGAUCCUUUGUGGAGACAGGAGAUGAGAGACAGGAGAAUCCCCCAAAGCUUAAGGGGAAGCUAGUCUGCUGUAUAUGACGACAAAACAACAAAAUGGGGGCUUCUUGAUUCAAAGAAAGUAGAAGGCAAGGACCAACAAUCAAGAACGUCCUUGAUCUCCACAUAUACUUAGUGGCAAGUGUACACAUGCAUGUAUGUGAGCAAGUAUACAUACCACCCACAUAUAUACAUUAUGCAUGUGUAUACAUCACAAUACACAUAUCAUAUACACAUCACACGUAUCAUACAAACAUCAUAUGUAUAAUCAUACGCACACAAUAAAAAAAAUAAGUAUGUCUCAAAAUGCUUUCUUCAGUGCUCUAACCCAACCCCAUUCCUUACCUCCCUCCUCAUCCCCGAUGUGAAAGGGACUUCAAAGAUUCUCCUCUCCAUGCCUGCAUAAUUUCCCCUCUGCAAGCUGUCAUUUAAGCCGCUACCUUAAUGUCUCAGAACUUCUGGAGACUUGGAAGAGCUCAGAAGGAAAGCAUAGUAUGCUUAAUUAGAGCGAUGGAUGGAAGGCAAAUGGAAGGCUCCUUACCUGCCAGGCACACCUCACACAUCUUCCCUGGCUGAGAAAAAUUCCAUUCUGAAGGGCACUGAAGCUAUUGCUAUCUGGAGCAGCCAGCCAGUGAGAAAUUAUGCUCCGGGUUUCAGCCCAGCCAGCUUUCAUUACUGUUGAAAAAUAUCACCUCAUAAUUCAACCCAGCUCAAGCCUUACCUCCUCUCUGACUUGUUGGCCAUCCCAAUCCUCGGCAAUUCCUCCCACUGCCGACCGAAUUCCUCUAGGAUGGAUGUGAUAACAUGAAAUCACCCAGGACUGGGGCCAGGAUAUUAGCAACUACUCAAAACCUAUCUAUCUCCCGGAGAUCCACUAACACUUAUUAUUGGCAAAAGUCCUUGGGCUCUCAGCAAACUCAACCUGCAUUGUUGUCUUUUAUGUAUCUAUUUUCCAUUUCCCCAACCCAUCUGAAAGCCUGAGGAGGACGAGAUCCCAUGGUACCCUGCCCCACUUCCCAGAAUAAUGAGUUCCACUGUAGGAAGGUCCCCAAAUAACAUUUGUUUAUAGAGAUACUACCCAACUCCCCCAACCCUGACUUGAAGAAUAUCUCGGAAUGUGUCAGAAGGGCAGAGCAAAUAUUCUGUGAAUUAAAGGCUUGCUCUACCACUGAGACGCUUCCA
Long non-coding RNA from Mus musculus (house mouse), 2148 nucleotides. RefSeq annotates it as predicted gene 29065. The transcript has 4 exons. The record is from RefSeq and is a predicted model, not a curated record. Lineage: Eukaryota; Metazoa; Chordata; Mammalia; Rodentia; Muridae.